Molecule: RNA transcript, 1419 nt
Organism: Triticum aestivum (bread wheat)
Lineage: Eukaryota; Viridiplantae; Streptophyta; Magnoliopsida; Poales; Poaceae
Exons: 6
Source: RefSeq, a predicted model, not a curated record
CCAAAUCCCUAAUUCCCCUUUCCCAUUCCCCACUCGCGCCGCCCUGGGCUCUCCGCCGCCGCCGCGCCAUUGUGCUGCACCCGCGCGACCCUACUGGACUGCCGCCCCACACCGCCUGCCCCCAUGCGCUCGACCCCUCUCGUCUGCACCGGCGCACUCCCCUGACCACAAGAACUUUGGCGUCGUCACCGUCAUGGCAUGCGGCCGGCAGAUCCCGGGGAGACGGGAUUCAACCUGCGGCAGAGGGCUGUUGCCCUGUACUAGAAGACUGCGCCGGCCGUGGUGAAGUACUCCAUGGAGGCGCUGCUGCUCGUGGUGUCCAACCCCGUUGACGUCCUCGCCGGCCUCGCCUUCAAGAUUUCAGAGUUGGGUUCCAGGCGAGCGGCGUCAUCUGCUCCGGUACCGACCUCGACGCCUCCUGGUUUUGGUUCCUCAUCAACGACCCCCCGCCAUCAACGCACAGGACGUGCAGGAUUCCCAGCCCACCCCAGCAUCCCCUUCAACCCGGAACCAGUUUACUGUUGCGCCUCUGCAACCUUACAGGUCGCCACAGUCUGUGCAACAGCUAGCAGCAGGGCCCAUUGUCGUUGCCGUGCAUCCCAGGUUCAUCUGCUUGCUGCUGUUGCCAUCGCUGAAACCAACCAGGAGUUAGUGGCUUCAAAGCACCAAAGUUGGUCGGACAAUCUGGUGCUUAUCUGCUGGGAUUUUGAAUUGAAUAUGUGUGGAAUUUCUGGUAGCUAUGUGGAUCUAUUGGCUCCGAAAACUGAUACCCCAGUGUCUACAAUUUGUGGCCAUGUAGGCUCAAGCGUCUCUCCUUCAUCAUGUAAAAUGUCAACUUGAAAAUCGUCUAGGCAGAAGGGUACAUCCCCAAGAGGCCCAAUUGCAGGGCGAACCUGGGCAGCCCAGGUCAUUUAUUUAGAAGACGAGCACUCCACCAGGCUGUUUCUCAAUGUAUCAUUUUGGUCUCUUGUAGUAAAAACUUUGGCGAUGCUCAUGACAGGCAGUGACACUCUGUGGUGGUGUCGAGCGUUGGGGUAGGAAAGCAGAACAUCAUCAACUCUGCCUCACCUCUUCCACUCGUGCUGUCUGAUGAUGUUCAAGCUGGAGGAUGUUCUGCAAUGAGAUGUGGAAUGAAGGCUUUGAUGUCAAGUACGAGAAUGAUGCAAGGAUGUUGGUGGAAGGCUGUGAGGAUGGGUAUGUAGUUACCCACUACAAGGAGCCAAGGCAGAUGAUGUGCCUCUUAGAAAAAUUCUAGUAAACACUAGGAAUUUUUGCUCUCAGACAAUGAACCAUAAUGUCUCCUCUAUUUCAUUAGUUACAUAAGUUUACAGGAAACUUGGAUGGUCAUUGGUUCAUAACAUAUGCACUAUUUAUAUGUGAAAAUUAAUGGAUGUGUGUUAUUAUUGUUUGGUUCUGAUA